AGUGAACGCUGGCGGCAGGCCUAACACAUGCAAGUCGAGCGGCAGCGCGGGGGCAACCCUGGCGGCGAGCGGCGGACGGGUGAGGAAUUCGUCGGAAUCUGCCUUUUUGUGGGGGAUAACGUAGGGAAACUUACGCUAAUACCGCAUACGUCCUACGGGAGAAAGGGGGGGACCGCAAGGCCUCACGCAGAAAGAUGAGCCGACGACCGAUUAGCUAGUUGGUGGGGUAAAGGCCCACCAAGGCGACGAUCGGUAGCUGGUCUGAGAGGAUGAUCAGCCACACUGGGAGUGAGACACGGCCCAGACUCCUACGGGAGGCAGCAGUGGGGAAUAUUGGACAAUGGGCGCAAGCCUGAUCCAGCCAUGCCGCGUGUGUGAAGAAGGCCUUCGGGUUGUAAAGCACUUUUGUCCGGAAAGAAAUCCCUGGAGCUAAUACCUUCGGGGGAUGACGGUACCGGAAGAAUAAGCACCGGCUAACUUCGUG
RNAcentral lists this ribosomal RNA (484 nucleotides) under uncultured bacterium. RNAcentral's name for it is "partial 16S ribosomal RNA". It matches the Rfam family "Bacterial small subunit ribosomal RNA", at positions 30 to 507 of the family's 1533-position model. The record is from RNAcentral.